This 200-nucleotide unclassified non-coding RNA is filed under the name Onygenaceae sp. RNAcentral describes it as "partial internal transcribed spacer 2". Lineage: Eukaryota; Fungi; Ascomycota; Eurotiomycetes; Onygenales; Onygenaceae. The record is from RNAcentral.
UUAAGUUCAGCGGGUAUCCCUACCUGAUCCGAGGUCAACCUGAAUGGAAGCGAUCCCUAACUGGUAGGGGUCGGAUUUCGAGGCCAGCGUUCACCGGGAGCGUGCGAGCAUCCAGAAUAAGUCUCCCAUAUGCUCGGUCACCCUUGAUUAAGCGACGCCGCCACUGCAAUUGGAGCAGGCCCCCCCCUUCCAAAGGGACG